GCGUGGAAACUAUGCGACGAUGACAACGACGCUUACCCAUGUGCGCCUUCUUACCUCAGCUUCCCAGAUAGCGCACGCGGGGACGGCGGCACACCCCUCCCACCCUGCGGCGCGUGCCCGUGGAGGUGGGUGGCGGCGAGCUAAUUAAUCGCAAUACCCCAUAUGGGGGUUCGGAUCUCCUCACAAGCAGUAUUAUGUAUACCCGACUACCACGGAUAGAAGAAGCAGGCAGCAUUAUGCAGGCGAGGCGACAGCCGAGAAGAAGAACCAUGGCGGUGGUGGAUGGCGAUGGUGCACACGGAGUCCUUCUAGAGUGGAUGAGAAGAAUCCUUUUAGUGCUCCAACUGUGUUCGAGGGACUCUCGACCUCCUAACCCUCUGCAAGGGAUGCCUGAAGACGGGCUACCGUUUACUUCAUACAGGCAACAAGAACGUCUUGAUUGAAUUUGAUUCAUCUGUCAUUUGUGAAAUUAAAGACUUAGAAGAGAGAGGACCUGGCCAGAAAUUUCGGUUCCGCUCCAGUUGUUCAGAGCCUCUUCCUUCCUGCUUGCAGCUGCUGGAGCACAGAUACAUUGUAUCUAAAAAGGUAAGGCCUAACAGGAGCCAACACAACUGCCACACCUCUACGGUAACUACAUGAGCAUACACUGAAUGGAACGAAGCGUCGCUGGGCCUUCUCCUGUUAGAUAAAUAGCACACCCAAUCUUUAAAAAGAGUGAACUGUCUGAUGGCAUACAGGGACACAUGUUGUAGGCAAGGCACAAUUGGAACCAUUGUCCUAGAAAUGUGUAACACAGUGUCAGGGUUCUCGCCAUUCAACUCCUAACUUAGAUAUUCUUGGGGGGGAGGGACCUUUUUUUUUUUUUAACUGUUAAGUUUUGCUUGUAUUUUAUUAUGAAUAACCAGGGAUCCAUAAAGAAAGCAUUUACUUUGUAAAUAAAUGGCAGCAGGUGGUACCGAGGGUUAUAGGACACCAGGAGCCUGAAACACAAGCUGCCCUGUGGUCUGCUCAGUUUUCUGUUUUCACUUGACACAAAGUGAAAGAAGAGAUUUUAUUUAAUUGGUAUGGUGAGGUGACACCAUCUAUGAUUUUGGCCUAGCAUCAACCUGCCCGAGCCGUGAAAGCUACGUAUGUGCUUUGUUUUUCAAAAGUCUUCCAGAGUUGGAAUUUACAAUGUAGAACUUGUAAGUUACCAAUUGAUUUUAAUAGGUUGCCCUGCAGUUUUAAACACUUAUGUUUAUGCUUUGAGAGUAAAGUGAAUUACCAUAAUUCCUGGAAUACUGCACUAGAAAGUGUCCUCCCUCAUCAGAGUCAGGGACACGUGGACAUUGCAGAAGCCUUAAUGCUCCAAGUGAGACCAUAAAAUACAUUGGCAGAGAGGAUGCAGGCUCCUCCCUGGCUCGUGCCAAAGCCAGAACAUUGAAAUAACACAUUCCUAACCUGAAAUACUGGGUCACCUAAUAUACAGCUUGACCGCAGACUUCAAGCUUGGGGUUGAACUCUGCGGGCUUGUGUUCCUCAGCCCUUCUGUAUCUUUCUUUCUGGGUAAGGAUGCUUCAUCUGCUUUCAGAAGCAACAACAUUGCUGUAGGUUAGAAUCUUUGAAAUUGUAUUACUACUUAAUGAUGUAACUGAGGUUUUGGACAAGAAUGUCUUCCUGAGCCUUUCAUUAGUUGGGGUCAUUGUAAGCUACUUUCCAAGAGCCUAGAGAAAACACAAUUAUGAUAUUAUUUUAAUAGCCCAGGAAACAAUAACUAGGCUUCCACUGAAACAGAAACCCUAGCUGUAAGGCUUUAAUAACAGUACUUAGUGAUGCGCUCUGUCUUCAAAGCACAUUCUGCACUUUAAUUAGCCAGAUGACUGGAACUGUUGCUGCAGAUAAAUGUUAUUUGCAGCUUCGGCCAUAUAGGAGGUGAAAGCAGGUACUGUGAGAAGCUCUUCUAGUCCUGGCUAAUCUCCAUAAGAAGGCUUUAAUACUUAGAACUGGAAAGUUUUUACACAUCCAAUGUCAUGACCACUCACGACAUUUUUUCUCAUGUCAUAUCCACUGGUUAGUAUUUCAACUACAAAGUAACUCCAAACAUGCAUUCUCUAUUAGACAUUAGAUAUUUAAAUGUCAUUUCGCAAGUUCUAAGUCAACUACUGAAGAAUGAACUAAGUACAUGAAAUUUCCCUCUUUAAUAUCUAUCAGCUAAUCCUCAAAUAAGGUAUCUCUAAUUUAGAAUAGAAUCUCAGUCUAGUUCAAACCAAGUGGCCAAUGUGUUGGGACCCAAUUUUUUCAAUGUGGGGGUUUUGGUUUGGUUUGGUUUGUAGCCUUCAUUGACUGUGACCCAGACAGGCAAGUGCCACCUGUAUGAGAAACAAGCCUAACUCCCCUCCCUAUGACUUAUAAAAUAGGGGACCAGAAGGGGAUUCUAGCAGCUCCCUUCCCUUUGAAAUUCAACUCUGCACAGUGCGUUGACUCUCCUGGCUAACCAGGAGAGGAAGAUAUAAGCAGUAUAAUCGUAAACCACAGACCUCAUGAGUAACAUGGAGAAGGGAGAGAGGGCAGCUCCAUUUACCCAGGGCACACUAGCUUUGAUGGGAUACCAUAAACCAUCCUAGCAGAGAGCACAUGCAUGUGAAAGGCUAUCAAAGAGUUCUCCCAACUAACGGCUAUUUUCCCUAAAGUAAAAGUUGGUGCAUCUGGUGACGUGAUCCUGAUUUGAAGAAGAGUGGGUGUUGAAACCCUCCGCUAAAACACAACGUCUUUAGUUUAGGGAAGUUUGUUACAUUGGGCAUGGCAGCUCAUAACUGAUCCCAGAACUUGGCAAUUUAAGGCAAGAGGAGUUGUUUGAGUCUGAGGCUAGCCUGGGCUAUAGAGCAAUACCAUAUUUCAAUAAAAAUAAACAAAGAAUAGCCUCUGCCAAAUGUUUAUAUUUUAAUUAGAUUCUGAACAACUCCCCCUGCCCGCAAUCCCUUGCAUUCCGUCUUUCAAAAUGAGCCCUAUUGUAAGAACUAGGUACUAGCUAAAAACCUGAGUUGGUAGCAAAUAUUUUGUAGCAGAAUGUAACUUUGUGAGUAUACAUUUAUAUCUUUGGUUUUCAAUGACCAAAAUGCAUUUUCAAAUAGCGGAUGAUUUGACUAGUCCUACUUUGGGACAACUGAGAUUCUGAUGGGAGCCAGGGGUCCUUCAGUUCCACAGAGCUCUCUUUGUCUGCUGUUAGGAAACACCAAAUUAAGUUAUCAAUGUGACAUACCUAAUCACACGUUUAAUUCAUCGAGAAGUGUAGGUAUCUUUUCAUCUUUUUGUAUUUGCUCACACACGUUGAAAUUGGAAAAUGUAUAAUUAUUAUUUAACUCCACCUGUUUCCCCCAGGGCAUAAAGUGCACAGCCCCUCCAGUGAGGAUGGCUCUUUGGAAGGGAGAUGUGCAGAGUCCCUGUCUGCCCCUGUGUGGACUCGUGCUCAGUGUCUGCUGGGAUGCCUGUGGCGGCAGGCACUCUCUCAACACCAGCAGGGCCCACAUGGCACUGUGGCUUUCUGGGGUCUCUGCCUAGCUCUGGAAGUGUCAAACUGGAGAAAAUUCUGUAGCUCAAAAGUACCAGGCAUUUGUAAGAAGCCUGGAGAUUGGAUAAAGGGACAUGUUUUAUGAGCUACAGGCCCUAGUUGUACCUACAGCCAUAUCCUAGGGUCUCUGCAUGCCACUCUGUACUGGGAAGGUUGCCUCGGCUCACUUUCUUGAACAUUCCUGUUUGUCCCUUACAUUAGUCUCUACUAUAUUCUCAGAUUACAAUUCCUUUUGUGCUAAUUACACCCCCAAAUUAAAAGAAUGUUGCUGACUUCACAAAGAAUACAAAGCAGUCUGGUUUUAAAAAUUAAAUCUAGCCAACUUCUUUUAGGACUUCAGGUGGCUUCUGCUGCUUGUAUUAGCUGGAAAUGCCAACAUAUUCACUAAGAAAAACUGAGCAAUAUAUCUGGGGGGCAGGUAUUAAAAAUGUGUGUUGCCUUUGGAGGACAUCUACAUAAAAUGAUAAGGUAAAUUAAAAUUGGGUGAGGAUAACAGACUGGUUUUAAAUAUUGUCCCUAUUAGCCAAACAAAUAAAGGAUCCCAAGAAAUCUCCUAAUGGUUAAAAUGCAAACACUACCUACAUGGAAUGGUUUGUUUUUCCUAAGGAACAGUACAUUACCAGCUAAUGCUGAAAGCAUGCUACAGCUGUGACCUGUAGCUUGGACACUAGCUUGAGUGACAGGUGUACCCAUCACUUGCUCAGAAUGGCUGAAAUUACAAGGCCUAACUCAGCUUUUCCCCCCAGUUAACUGAUGCCAACAUUACAUCCAUCCAGGAAAGAGCCUCCAGCUACAGGCACAGCAGAGCAUAUGUUCUCAGUCUUCAACAUGUCCACAACUGCUUCAGCCUUGGGUCAGAAGGGAGCUGGGGCUCCCUAAUCGUAGAACCAAAAAGCCAGGAUGGCUCUUCCUGAGGAUGGCUGGAGAAAGCAGCUAGCUUCUCUAAUGCUCAUCUGAGGGAGUUUCUAUGACUGAGGCAUCCUCAGGGUUCUAGGAAGCAUGUCACCAAAAUUGGUGUCAUUAAAGAAGGUGGCACAAAGCUGAGUAUCCAGUGGUGAACUAUAACAUACUAACUAGGCCUGUUUUUAUCACUAGGUUGCAGUGAUCUGCAAAUAUGAAGAUGAUCCCUGAGCAAGCUUAAUACUAUAAUUUGCAACUGCUUCUGUUGUUCUUCCUCCCCUAACUUUGUAAAACUUUCAUGCCCUCCCCAGAGUGAUUGGUACAGGUGGCAAAGAGAAAGCGAAGCUUUGGUGUGUGUGUGGGGUGGGGGGGGGCACUUAACAAAUUUUCAUUUUAAAAAUGGAUACAAAAGAGGCUAUGGCAAGAAAACACAGAGGCCCGAUUCCUGAGAAAUGAGAAAAAUAAGAAGGUAUACCUGGGUGGAAGGCAGAGAGAAAGGGAGGGAGGGAGGGAAGGGAGAAGAGAGAAGGAAAGAAAAGCCAGCUAGCUACAAGCAGCCUGGAAGCCCCGGAAAGAAACGAAAUCACCACAAUGAUCUCAGUGGAGCCUAACUUAGUCCUUGUCCCACCACCUGCUGCUUUGGGGAAAGCCACAGCACCAUUUGCUCCAUUUCAGCAACAAGAGUUUGUUUGAUUUCCAAGACUCAUUAGAAUCCUGAGGUCCCUGCUUAACAGGGUAACUGAAAAUCUAUGUUUUCAACUCUUGACUUUUUCAUUUUUCUACUCAAAACUUGGUAAACUGUUAAAAGUACACGUUCAGAGGGCUGUGACUGUUAAAUAAAAAUAAGAGAUCAAAGCUAGAUUAUAGGGGUUUGGUCACACCUGGGCUCUGCCUGGCCUGUACCCCAAAGGAAAAAUGAGGAAGAUGGAUCAGGAUGAUGUCUGCAUUUUCCCCUCUGCCUUCAGUGUUUGUAAACAGAGCUAGACUAAUCCACAAAGGGACCGACCUGCCAUCUUCUCUCCCACCUAACUAGCUUUUUACUGCACUGAUAAGACAGAAAAGGGGGGCGGGGAUCUGGCAUAGACUAGCUAAAUUGUUUAUGCAGAUGAGAGAAAAGAGAGAGGAUUGAUUAGCUUGGCUCAGUUUUGGUGACUGUGAAAUAAAAAAUGGAGGAGGGGGGGUCAAUUUGUCCCAAACUAAAAUUAUAGACAUUUUUCUUUUGUGAUAAACUACUUCUCAUUGCUUCUUUUUUUUUUUCAUGAACUGGAUCAAGCUGGUUGUUACCUAAGACAAAGCAAGGGUGAACGGCUUUUGCUUCCUCUAAAUCAAAGAUGGCUACAGGCACCAGGCAGACCUUGCCUCUCGGGAUGCUGCUGCCAGUCCGUCCAUUCUCCCUGCCCACCUGCCUGUAGGGACCAGACUACUUCCUCAAGCCCGGCUUCUCUCUGCAGCAGUCUCCGAAUGGCUACCCAGAGAAGGCAAGAGACUCCCACAUCUUGUCCACAUCUUAUUCAUGUAAGAGAACUAGAAGAAGAAGCUGCUGAGAAUGAAGUACUAAGGCUGGCCUUAGUGGAAGAGGGGUCAUCUGGGAAUAAUUCUCGGACAUUUGUGAAAAUUGCUUCUAUCCAAGAAUGUAGGCCACCAAGAUUAGUGUACACACUGCUGAUUGGUUAGUAAAAGGGACAACUUUCCUUUAGAUGGUUUGUCAGUAGAUGAACAAGUUAUGCCAUGUGCAAUGUCUAGCUUCCUCAGGACAAGGUAUGGAUAAUGUCUGGGGAGGAGCUCUCAAAUAUGGGUGACAUUUAGUGGUCACUAGAAAGAUUUGGGUUGUCAUACUUAAUUGUGGGGAGGUGGCAGUGGUGGUAGUGUGUGUGUGUGUGUGUGUGUGUGUGUGUGUGUGUGUAAUGUGUGUAGUGGAUGUUAGUUGUUAGUAAUAGUGUGUAUGUGUGAAAUGUGUAUAGUGGUAGCUUUGGGUGAUCAUGGUGAUGGUAUUGUAUGUAUGCUCACGUGCAUAUGCGUGUGUGUGUGCUCAUGUGCAUGUGUGGUGGUAGCAUAUGUGUGUGUACAUGUGUGUAUGCUUGUGUGUGUACUUAUGUGCAUGUGUGGUGGCAAUGUGUAUAUUUGUGUGUGUGUCCAUGUGUGUGUCUGAUAUUAGAUAUCUACAGUGCACAGAACAGGUCCCAGCCCCCAUGGCAAAAUGUCAAUGGAAUUGCUUGGCAGAUCCUCUGUUAAAAGAUACCCUUCUAUUGUUCCUACAAUCUCAGUGCAUAGCCAAAAAAGAGUAAGUCAUAGCUCAAAAUAUAAAAAAUGUGGAUCUGACUAAACUUUGGGAGCCCCUAUGGGUCUCUUUUUUGGGGUUGGGGCAAAGUAUGAAAGUAAAGCAGGACCCGUCCCCACCUUGCUGGCCUUCCUGUCCUCUCUCUCUUCCGCCUUAUACCCUCUCAUGAUCUAGUGGCCACCUGAAAUAUCAAUCCUUAGUUACUGUCUCCUGGCUUUUCUAAAGCCCACCACCAAAAACUGCUUACCUGAGGGGAUAGUAGACAGGAGGCUCCUGGGUGGUACCUGUGAUUUUAUGGAUAAGCUAUCUAAGCACACACUAGGCCCAGCAGAGCCAUUCAAUGCAAAUGCAAGGAAUUAAGACGUACACUUCCCAGACAUGCUAAAAACAAUAACCCCAACAAACGACAACUUAAGAGACAAAUUACAAAUAAACUCUUCCUUUCCUAAGGAGUGACCCUUUGGGAUUUGGUUCUGGCCCUUGGACACUUACAGAUGACCACAUGGAACAAUAGAUUGAAGAGAGUGCUGUUUUGAAAGGAUACGCUUGAAUCCACUAUGCACUUUCACACUUUCCCAAGAACGCCACCUACUCUUGACACUGUAUCCCUCGGGAGUAAAGGGGUCAGUGAGACCAAUAAGCUACGUUUACUGCUUUAAAAUCUGGGGUUCAGACCCAGGAUGGGUCUCAGAAGCCCCAGGGGACUCAACAUAUCUAGCAGGUAAGCUUCAAGAUACCUGCUUUCAUUUCCUUUACAGCUCUGGGGUCCUAGACUCAUCUGUGCCUAGCUUUGGGUUUUGUGUGUCAUUGUGACCAUUCCUGUUGACAUUUGUUGGGGGGAAAAUGCAGUUUUGGACUUACCUGGGUGCAGGUUACCUGUAGGAAUGUCUUCAGAGUCGUCUACACAUUAACGACCAGUUUGACGAGGGACAAACUAGUUCCGUAGGAAGGAGGAGAGAGGUAUUCAGAACUUUGACAGAAGGACAGGCAAGAGCCAGCAAGUCAGAAGAGAGGCUCCAGCUGGCUGUUCUGAAGUCUUCGUAAGAGGUCACUCUCCCUUAGUGGUGGCAGUGAGCAAGCUCGACCGUGACACUCCUGAGAAGGGAUUUAAGAAGAAAAAAAGUCCUCCUCUCCGAGUCUUCUGGAAACUGAGCCUCCUCUGGCAGCUUGCAUCUGAGACUGUUACUGAGUAUUCUUAAGCUGCAUAAAGGCCUCAAAGAGUCUUCAUCUGAAACUCCAAAGGAAAGGCCGGACCCAUUUUCUUUCUAUUCUCUCUGGAAAGCUUGAUCCUAGGUCAGGGGUCCAUAGGUCAGCCUAGGAAUGUGAUGUAACAACAGAGCACUCCAUCCAGUGGACUAAAGACCUUGAGAGGUGGGCGUCAGGCAGAGUCUCCGUGCCUGCUGCCCAGAGGCCCACAGAGGCCGAAUUCCAGUGCCCACAGUUCUUGGCCUCUGCUCACUCGGGCCCUGUUGGUUCUACUUGGAAAAAUUCUCCUCUCUCUGUGAAGUUUUAGUUUGGAAGCCAUAGUGGCAUUUGAAAAGCUGUAGAGUUACUAAGAAGGGGGUGGGCACAUCUUAUUGAGAGGGGAAGCUGAUUGUAAAAAGAAGUGGGUGUGCCUAGACUUGAGGGUUUUAAAUUUGAUCAACUAGGCUAUCCUCUCUUUUAAAAAAAAUUUAAAUUUCCUGCAUCAAAAUAAAUCAACAAAACAAA
Long non-coding RNA from Mastomys coucha (southern multimammate mouse), 8435 nucleotides. RefSeq lists it as uncharacterized. The transcript has 5 exons. The record is from RefSeq and is a predicted model, not a curated record. Lineage: Eukaryota; Metazoa; Chordata; Mammalia; Rodentia; Muridae.